This 588-nucleotide long non-coding RNA is filed under the name Ursus maritimus (polar bear). Its description in RNAcentral is "lncRNA (ENSUMAG00000016225.1)". Lineage: Eukaryota; Metazoa; Chordata; Mammalia; Carnivora; Ursidae. The record is from RNAcentral.
GAUGAAUUUUGUUAGCUUUUUCAUGUUUUAAAUGCCCCUCUUUUAGGUUUCGUUGGUUUACCUUUUACGACAGACUUGCCUUACGGCCAAUUAGUUUUGCGGCAAAGACGCUUCCAGCGAAGAUGCUCCCGGCGAAAUACCAGACGUGCCAAGAAAAGCUGCCUUUAGAAGGUCUUAACGCACCACCACUUGGCUUGGCUUUCAUCUUGCCCAGCUGCUUACCAAAGCCUUCCUCUUUCAUCUUCGACGGCUUUAAUUGGUGGCAAGCCAAUCCAGAGGAUGCUCAUCUGAGAAUGAAGACUUCCCACGUGAUUUCUGAUCUUUGUUACAGUUUGAUGAUAACUACGUCAGCAUUUCUACUUUCUGUGGGUUUUUAUAAGAGAGGUGGCGAAUCUUUACCUAUGGAACAUACGGAUGUAGGAGCUCCUUUCUAGAUUCUAGACUCUACUGCACUGGAAUCUCCAUGGGUGGGAACUGCCCCCCCCAAACUCCGGAAGGCUGUCUUGUAAAGACUCUACAGGUCAUUCUAAUGGGAGCCAGGGUUGAAGAUCACUGGGAAAUUUAAAUGUAAGUGGAUGUGUCUCCAUG